UUCUUGCAUACUCCGAAAACUACAACGUGGUUGCUAAAGACACAUAAGCUUGGGUUUGGAAAAGACCAUUCGCAUACCUUAUUCCAAUCAGCUCCUCUUAGAGCCAGGUGGAAACUUCAGUCAAGGAAGACUUCAACUAUUCUGAAUAUCUUACCUUGUACAUUUCACAUAUAAAGAAGGCAUCCUUUUCAUUGACUAUAGGCAAGUUUUGGUGAAAAGGAAAUGAUUAAUCAGCUCAUCUUCUCAAGAGAUGACAUGACACAGAAGAACAUGGGAUUUGAAUUCACACAUGAGAUUUAGCUCACAUUUGUCCUAAGCUUUCUGCCAUGACUGUAGAAUUAAGUAAAUCACAUACCCUCUCCGUACUUUUGUUACCCUGUCCCUAAAAUGAAGAUAAUAAAACCUACUGUAUAGGAUGACUAUAGAGAUUAAAGGUACCCAACACAUAACCAGUGCUACAAAAUUGUCAACUCAUGUCACUCUGCUGGAUAUAGUAAAGUUCGACCAAAAUCUACUACAGUAGAUUUUGCAUUAAGAGGCUCAGGAACAUUUCAAUCUGAUGUUGGAGAUGAUGUGUGACUUUUCUAGUAUUUCCUGUGUACAUCUCAGCACAGUUCCAUGUGCAUGUUGGGAUAUCUACAUAUGUGAUGUUAACGUCAAUAUCCCUGCUAUAAAGACAGAAAUAUGGCAGACUAACAACAUCUCGAACGCUGAUUUCAUUCCCCACGUUGGUUUUGGCACGUUUUUGAAAAUUUUAGCUGCUUAAUGCAUUUCUGCCAAUAGACAAAAGCUCAACUGAUUUCAAAGCAUUUGCGGAUAAAGUUGUGACCACUGAAGUGUCAUUGAGAAUAAAUCUCUUAGACAUGGGUGUACUAAAGAGCUUGUCGAAAAAAAUGACAGUGUU
RNAcentral lists this long non-coding RNA (904 nucleotides) under Homo sapiens (human). Its description in RNAcentral is "HSALNT0133387". Lineage: Eukaryota; Metazoa; Chordata; Mammalia; Primates; Hominidae. The record is from RNAcentral.